UACGGAGGAUCCAAGCGUUAUCCGGAAUCAUUGGGUUUAAAGGGUCCGUAGGCGGUCUUAUAAGUCAGUGGUGAAAUCUCUCCGCUCAACGGGGAAACGGCCAUUGAUACUGUAAGACUUGAAUUAUUGGGAAGUAACUAGAAUAUGUAGUGUAGCGGUGAAAUGCUUAGAUAUUACAUGGAAUACCGAUUGCGAAGGCAGGUUACUACCAAUGGAUUGACGCUGAUGGACGAAAGCGUGGGGAGCAAACAGG
This 253-nucleotide ribosomal RNA is filed under the name uncultured bacterium. RNAcentral's name for it is "partial 16S ribosomal RNA". It matches the Rfam family "Bacterial small subunit ribosomal RNA", at positions 524 to 776 of the family's 1533-position model. The record is from RNAcentral.